GACGAACGCUGGCGGCGUGCUUAACACAUGCAAGUCGAGCGGUAAGGCCCUUUCGGGGGUACACGAGCGGCGAACGGGUGAGUAACACGUGGGUGACCUGCCCUCAGCUCUGGGAUAAGCCUGGGAAACCGGGUCUAAUACUGGAUAUGACUCCAUGACGCAUGUUGUGGGGUGGAAAGCCUUGUGCGGCUGAGGAUGGGCCCGCGGCCUAUCAGCUUGUUGGUGGGGNGAUGGCCUACCAAGGCGACGACGGGUAGCCGGCCUGAGAGGGC
This 272-nucleotide ribosomal RNA is filed under the name uncultured bacterium. RNAcentral describes it as "partial 16S ribosomal RNA". It matches the Rfam family "Bacterial small subunit ribosomal RNA", at positions 28 to 301 of the family's 1533-position model. The record is from RNAcentral.